Halichondria panicea is the source of this 688-nucleotide long non-coding RNA. RefSeq lists it as uncharacterized. The record is from RefSeq and is a predicted model, not a curated record. Lineage: Eukaryota; Metazoa; Porifera; Demospongiae; Suberitida; Halichondriidae. The transcript is spliced from 4 exons.
AAAAUGACAAAUCACAAGCUGGUAAAUAAAAGCUCCAAUACCAAAUCAGCUCUUCCAUCAACUCAAGAAGAAAUUGCUCAUUACCAAUAUCCAACAUGACAAUGAAGAUUGUGCUUGUCGUAGUUGUACUGGUGACUUGCUUCGCUGUGGACAAUUGUCAAGUCACCCCCGCUCAACCAGAAUACUUUGCUUGCGUAAGUAAUCUAACAUCCGGAAUGCCGGCCUUUGGACCCUGCUUCGCUAACACCACUGGCAUUAUAACGCUACAGCAUUUUGUCAACUCCCCUGCAUCGAUCAACUUGCAACAGUUUACCAAAUAUGCAAUGCACUUACUAACCCGAUACUUCAGGUUUGUCCCAACGCUAAUAGUAGUGUGAUUACUGUUCUUGUCUCGCCUGGCACGUCUGCUCCUACUACUGACAGUAGUGCUGUAUCUAUCGUUGUCAUGCCAAUGAUGGUGAUCACUGGAAUAGUUAUGGUUUUGGCCUCACUGUUUUAAGCAGACACAACAUCGAAGAGACUAUAAUUAUACUUGAAUUUAGACACUACAAUUGUGUGCAUGAAUAGUGCAUAUAUAAUUAUAUAGUGCCAUAACUCUAUAGAAAAUACAUGACAUUGUACAUGCAUGUAGACACCCAUAAAAUGUAUUUUUAUAUAGAGAUUGUGAUCAUAAUGAACCGAACUAACA